Molecule: ribosomal RNA, 157 nt
Filed under: Orbilia sp. 6179
Lineage: Eukaryota; Fungi; Ascomycota; Orbiliomycetes; Orbiliales; Orbiliaceae
Description: 5.8S ribosomal RNA
Rfam family: 5.8S ribosomal RNA
About the family: 5.8S ribosomal RNA (5.8S rRNA) is a component of the large subunit of the eukaryotic ribosome. It is transcribed by RNA polymerase I as part of the 45S precursor that also contains 18S and 28S rRNA. Functionally, it is thought that 5.8S rRNA may be involved in ribosome translocation.
Source: RNAcentral
AAACUUUCAACAACGGAUCUCUUGGUUCUCGCAUCGAUGAAGAACGCAGCGAAACGCGAUAGUUAAUGUGAAUUGCAGAAUUCAGUGAAUCAUCGAGUCUUUGAACGCACAUUGCGCUUGUUGGUAUUCCGACAAGCACGUCUGUUUGAGCGUCAUG